AUUUCUUCUAGUAGCUCUAUACUACUGGUUGUAGUAUUGUUGAUUACAGAUAUAGCUGUCGCUUCGUAUACAGGAGAAAUUCUUUUGUAUACGGCGGAUUUGUCGGCGUGCUCGGGAAAACGAGUAAUCCGGGGCGUGACAGAUUCCGAUUCUUUUACACCAUUAAACUAGCAAGUAUUCCAUACCGGCCGUUAAAAAUUGUCAAUUUUGUGACCUUUUGAUCGUAAGGUAAAUGAUGUCGAAAAAUUAUGAAAUUUGAUUUCUAGAAGUUUUAAAUGCUCUAGAUAACGUUUGACGGUAUGGAUCGUCGAUUCGAAAACUCUAUCAUCGAAAAGAACUUAUGAGUGUGAGGGCGAUCAUACUCAUAAUAGUAUAGUAGCCGGACUCCUUAUAUCUAUACUAUAUAUAAAAGGACGUAUUUUAAAAUUUAGGGAAAACUUCCCCCUCUGUGGUUUCACACUUUCUCACUUUAGUACCAUGUGGUUUAAAGUGUAUCAAGCUAGUAUCUUGUGGUUUCGCAUUUUCUCACUUUAGUACCCUGUGGUUUAAAGUGUACGUAUCAAGUUAGUACUCUGUGGUUCCAUUUUGUAUCAAGUUAGUAUCUUGUGGUUUCAUUUUUUUUUUCUUUUUAUUAUUCAUUUCGGGGUAUUUUUUUUGUUAAAUUAAUGACAAAGUUAAAACUAGAGGGUAAUAAAAUGAAUAUUCGAUAAACCUAGAUAGGGUAUAUGAAGUUUUUGUAAAUAAUUUAACCAAAUAUUAAACCACAGGGUACUAAAGAGAAAAAGUGCGAAACCACCUGAUACUAACUUAAUACACUUUAAACCACAUGGUAUUAAAGUAAGAAAGUACGAAACCAUAUGGUACUAACUUGAUACACUUUAAACCACAUGGUAUUAAAGAGAGAAAGUGCGAAACCACAUGAAGGUAUUUAAAGUUUUUCCUAAAAUUUAGUCUGUCGACAAAUCUAUUUCAAAAAAAUUUAAAGAUAAGAAUAGAACUAUAAAGAUAGGAAUAGAAAUCGAUGGAAAGAGAUAUAUAAAUAAAUAAACUU
This 1051-nucleotide long non-coding RNA is filed under the name Ananas comosus (pineapple). Its description in RNAcentral is "long non-coding RNA (ACOM_LNC004001)". The record is from RNAcentral. Lineage: Eukaryota; Viridiplantae; Streptophyta; Magnoliopsida; Poales; Bromeliaceae.